UUGUGGAGGAGGACGCCGAAGGUGGGGCUAAUGACUGGGGUGAAGUCGUAACAAGGUAGCCGUACCGGAAGGUGCGGCUGGAUCACCUCCUAACAGGGAGACAACAAAAUGUAAAUAUUAAUUUUGUCACCUUAGGUCGAUCGGUAUCUCAGAUUCUUAUUUUUUAAGAAUUUCAGUUUCUAAGUUUUUUCUAGGUCACACCCAUCACUUUUUCCUGGGCCAUUAGCUCAGGUGGUUAGAGCGCACCCCUGAUAAGGGUGAGGUCCCUGGUUCAAGUCCAGGAUGGCCCAUAUCUCUAUGUUGGGGGUAUAGCUCAGUUGGUAGAGCGCCUGCUUUGCAAGCAGGAUGUCAGCGGUUCGAGUCCGCUUACCUCCACUGAAUACCACCUCUUACAUAUUUAAAGAGGGAAAUUGCUUUGAGUCGUGUCCUAAUUUGCUCUGAGCGAAUCUAGCUUCCUAUUUUAUUCAAUAAAUAAGAUGCUGGACUCAUUGGAUUUUUUUUCAUUGUUUUCAGAGAACCUUGACAACUGCAUAGAUUAUUUUUGAAGACAAUAAGCAUCUUUAAUGAUGCAGAUUUAUUAUUUGUGCGAAUGCAUUAAAUAGCAAUUCUAUUGAGCUGAUGCUUCAAUUAUUGAAGUUAUUGGUCAAGCUACAA
Molecule: unclassified non-coding RNA, 654 nt
Filed under: uncultured Prochlorococcus sp.
Lineage: Bacteria; Bacillati; Cyanobacteriota; Cyanophyceae; Synechococcales; Prochlorococcaceae
Description: partial 16S-23S ribosomal RNA intergenic spacer; may also contain 16S ribosomal RNA and 23S ribosomal RNA
Rfam family: tRNA (bases 303-375)
Source: RNAcentral